GUGACCUAGUGGUUCUUGCCUAGUUGGGUGUGCUCCCCAACCUAGGUUCGAACCUCGAAGCUGUCAAAGUGGCCAGACACUAUGCUGCAAUGCACAGUUGGAGCAUUUCACAUGCGUCGAAGGAGUUUAAAAAACUACAGACGGACUUGCUACCAAAUGAUUACCUUCAAAGGAACAUCAAUGUUGCAUAAAAAGGGGUUCAAGAUUUCAGAUUCAAAUCAUGGUAAACUGACCGACUGGCUAGCAGCUAUUGGAAUAAUGCCAAGUAGAUUCUUGACAGUGGGAUGCUAUUGGUAUAAAUUGGUGCUAUCGAGCUUAAUUGAAAUUUGUAUGUAAAUUGGUGCUAUGGUAGUGUCAAUAAAUUGGUGCUAGAAUCAGACCAGUCAUUAACUGUGUAGAAAUUCAUCCAUGUCCAGCAGAUCUCGAUCUGUAUGCGCAGCAGGAUGAGAAAGAAUUGCUUGAGAGAAGCUGUUGCCUCACGCAUCUAAAGCCAUGUACGUGUUGCACGGAAAGAGGAUAAUUUCUUCUUCGCAUUGUCCAAGUAUCAGAAUCUGCUGGAAGAAACUUUGACCAAAAAUCUAAAUUCUGUGCAGCCUUCAUACCAUCUUAAUGUGGUCAGAGAACCAAAGAACAUUGGUUUGCUCAAGUAUAAAACGUUUUUGUUUUCAGCCCAUUGCUUUUCAUUGUUCUCCUUGUGUUUCUGUUAGAUGCUAGAUUUCUCAACUUCCAUAGAAAGGAAUCACCUUGUAAAUCAUUGCCCCAAAUCAAACACCCUAGAAGAAAUAAAAAAAAGAAGCGAGGUGAGGACCUCAAUCACGGUUCAAAAGAUCUAAGGAUUAAUGAUUGCAGGACGGGUAUCCGACAUACUCUUCAAGCUCGAAAUGGAGACAAAUUGAGAAUUUUGCAUGUUAGAUCGCCAACAAAAGAUCUAGU
Molecule: long non-coding RNA, 933 nt
Organism: Rosa chinensis
Lineage: Eukaryota; Viridiplantae; Streptophyta; Magnoliopsida; Rosales; Rosaceae
Exons: 3
Source: RefSeq, a predicted model, not a curated record